GGCCUACCAUGGUGGUAACGGGUAACGGGGUGUUAGGGCACGACACCGGAGAGGGAGCCUGAGAAACGGCUACCACAUCCAAGGAUGGCAGCAGGCGCGCAAAUUACCCAAUCCCGACACGGGGAGGUAGUGACAAUAAAUAACAAUACGGGGUUCUUUCGGAUUUCGUAAUUGGAACGAGUACAAUUUAAAUCUCUUAACGAGGAACAAUUGGAGGGCAAGUCUGGUGCCAGCAGCCGCGGUAAUUCCAGCUCCAAUAGCGUAUAUUAAAGUUGUUGCAGUUAAAAAGCUCGUAGUUGAAUUUCGGGGUCAGUAGAUUGGUCAUGCCUCCGGUAUGUACUGGUCUUACUGGCUCCUCCUUCCUGAUGAACCGUAAUGCCAUUAAUUUGGUGUUGCGGGGAGACUGGACUGUUACUUUGAAAAAAUUAGAGUGUUUAAAGCAGGCUAACGCUUGAAUACAUUAGCAUGGAAUAAUGAAAUAGGACGUUCGAUCUUAUUUUGUUGGUUUCUAAGAUUGACGUAAUGAUUAAUAGGGAUAGUUGGGGGCAUUAGUAUUCAAUUGUCAGAGGUGAAAUUCUUGGAUUUAUUGAAGACUAACUACUGCGAAAGCAUUUGCCAAGGAUGUUUUCAUUAAUCAAGAACGAAAGUUAGGGGAUCGAAGACGAUCAGAUACCGUCGUAGUCUUAACCAUAAACUAUGCCGACUAGGGAUCGGAUGAUGUUAAUUUUUUAAUGACUCAUUCGGCGCCUUACGGGAAACCAAAGUGUUUGGGUUC
Molecule: ribosomal RNA, 775 nt
Filed under: uncultured Rhizophagus
Lineage: Eukaryota; Fungi; Glomeromycota; Glomeromycetes; Glomerales; Glomeraceae
Description: SSU rRNA
Rfam family: Eukaryotic small subunit ribosomal RNA
Source: RNAcentral